RNAcentral lists this transfer RNA (76 nucleotides) under Acutalibacter sp. Its description in RNAcentral is "tRNA-Glu". It matches the Rfam family "tRNA". Rfam says of the family: Transfer RNA (tRNA) molecules are approximately 80 nucleotides in length. Lineage: Bacteria; Bacillati; Bacillota; Clostridia; Eubacteriales; Acutalibacteraceae. RNAcentral also lists the same sequence under 6 other names. The record is from RNAcentral.
GGCCCGUUGGUCAAGCGGUCUAAGACGGCGGCCUCUCACGCCGCAAACAUGGGUUCGAUUCCCGUACGGGUCACCA